This 451-nucleotide ribosomal RNA is filed under the name bacterium NC2015. Its description in RNAcentral is "bacterial SSU rRNA". It matches the Rfam family "Bacterial small subunit ribosomal RNA", at positions 28 to 461 of the family's 1533-position model. The record is from RNAcentral.
GAUGAACGCUGGCGGCGUGCUUAACACAUGCAAGUCGAACGAAGCACAUUAUUUGAAUUCUUCGGAAGGAAGAUAAUGCGACUGAGUGGCGGACGGGUGAGUAACGCGUGGGUAACCUGCCAUGUACAGGGGGACAACAGUUGGAAACGGCUGCUAAUACCGCAUAAGCGCACGAGAUUGCAUGAUCUAGUGUGAAAAACUCCGGUGGUAUAUGAUGGACCCGCGUCUGAUUAGCUAGUUGGUAAGGUAACGGCUUACCAAGGCGACGAUCAGUAGCCGACCUGAGAGGGUGACCGGCCACAUUGGGACUGAGACACGGCCCAGACUCCUACGGGAGGCAGCAGUGGGGAAUAUUGCACAAUGGGCGAAAGCCUGAUGCAGCGACGCCGCGUGAACGAAGAAGUAUUUCGGUAUGUAAAGUUCUAUCAGCAGGGAAGAAAAAAUGACGUAC